GAUGAACGCUGGCGGCGUGCCUAAUACAUGCAAGUCGAACGCAUAGCGAAAGGUGCUUGCACCUUUCAAGUGAGUGGCGAACGGGUGAGUAACACGUAGACAACCUGCCUCAAGGCUGGGGAUAACAUUUGGAAACAGAUGCUAAUACCGAAUAAAACUUAGUGUCGCAUGACACAAAGUUAAAAGGCGCUUCGGCGUCACCUAGAGAUGGAUCCGCGGUGCAUUAGUUAGUUGGUGGGGUAAAGGCCUACCAAGACAAUGAUGCAUAGCCGAGUUGAGAGACUGAUCGGCCACAUUGGGACUGAGACACGGCCCAAACUCCUACGGGAGGCUGCAGUAGGGAAUCUUCCACAAUGGGCGAAAGCCUGAUGGAGCAACGCCGCGUGUGUGAUGAAGGCUUUCGGGUCGUAAAGCACUGUUGUAUGGGAAGAACAGCUAGAAUAGGAAAUGAUUUUAGUUUGACGGUACCAUACCAGAAAGGGACGGCUAAAUACGUG
RNAcentral lists this ribosomal RNA (497 nucleotides) under uncultured bacterium. Its description in RNAcentral is "partial 16S ribosomal RNA". It matches the Rfam family "Bacterial small subunit ribosomal RNA", at positions 28 to 507 of the family's 1533-position model. The record is from RNAcentral.